RNAcentral lists this ribosomal RNA (403 nucleotides) under uncultured bacterium. Its description in RNAcentral is "partial 16S ribosomal RNA". It matches the Rfam family "Bacterial small subunit ribosomal RNA", at positions 30 to 526 of the family's 1533-position model. The record is from RNAcentral.
AUUGAACGCUGGCGGCAGGCCUAACACAUGCAAGUCGAGCGAGCGGCGGACGGGUGAGUAAUGUAUGGGGACUGCCCGUUAGAGGGGGAUCACUACUGGAAACGGUGGCUAAUACCGCAUACUAUCGUAAAACCUUGAUGGGAUUAGGUAGUAGGUGGGGUAAAGGCUCACCUGGGCGACGAUCUCUAGCUGGUCUGAGAGGAUGAUCGGCCACACUGGGACGGAGAAACGGCCAAGACUCCUACGGAGGCAGCAGUGGGAAAUAUUGGACAAUGGGCGCAAGCCUGAUGCAGCCAGGCCGCGUGUAUGAAGAAGGCCUUAGGGUUGUAAAGUACUUUCAGCGGGGAGGCGUUACCCGCAGAGGAAGCACCGGCUAACUACGUGCCAGCAGCCGCGGUAAUAC